RNAcentral lists this ribosomal RNA (495 nucleotides) under uncultured bacterium. Its description in RNAcentral is "partial 16S ribosomal RNA". It matches the Rfam family "Bacterial small subunit ribosomal RNA", at positions 29 to 523 of the family's 1533-position model. The record is from RNAcentral.
UUGAACGCUGGCGGCAGGCCUAACACAUGCAAGUCGAGCGGCAGCGCGGGGCAACCUGGCGGCGAGCGGCGGACGGGUGAGUAACGCGUAGGAAUCUACCCAGUAGCGGGGAUAAGCCGGGGAAAAUCGGAUUAAUACCGCAUUCGCCCUACGGGGGAAAGGAGGGGGUCGGUAGUCCGUGCACUAUUGGAAGAGCCUGCGUUGGAUUAGCUAGUUGGUAGGGUAAAGGCCUACCAAGGCGACGAUCCAUAACUGGUCUGAGAGGAUGAUCAGUCACACCGGAACUGAGACACGGUCCGGACUCCUACGGGAGGCAGCAGUGGGGAAUAUUGGACAAUGGGGCAACCCUGAUCCAGCCAUGCCGCGUGUGUGAAGAAGGCCUUCGGGUUGUAAGGCACUUUAAGUGGGGAGAAAGGUUCGGCAGCUAAUACCUGCCGGAAGUGAUGUUACCCACAGAAUAAGCACCGGCUAACUCUGUGCCAGCCGCCGCAGUAA